Molecule: non-coding RNA, 71 nt
Organism: Heligmosomoides polygyrus
Lineage: Eukaryota; Metazoa; Nematoda; Chromadorea; Rhabditida; Heligmosomidae
Source: Rfam
GCGCCGGUGGUGUAAGGCGAACAUCGCUGCCCGGAAAGCAGAAGAUGCGGGUUCAAGUCCCGCCUGGCGCA